GAUGAACGCUAGCGGGAGGCCUAACACAUGCAAGCCGAGCGGUAUUGUUUCUUCGGAAAUGAGAGAGCGGCGUACGGGUGCGUAACACGUGUGCAACCUGCCUUUAUCUGGGGGAUAGCCUUUCGAAAGGAAGAUUAAUACUCCAUAAUAUAUUGAACGGCAUCGUUUAAUAUUGAAAGCUCCGGCGGAUAGAGAUGGGCACGCGCAAGAUUAGCUAGUUGGUGAGGUAACGGCUCACCAAGGCGAUGAUCUUUAGGGGGCCUGAGAGGGUGAUCCCCCACACUGGUACUGAGACACGGACCAGACUCCUACGGGAGGCAGCAGUGAGGAAUAUUGGUCAAUGGGUGCAAGCCUGAACCAGCCAUCCCGCGUGAAGGACGACUGCCCUAUGGGUUGUAAACUUCUUUUGUAUAGGGAUAAACCUACCCUCGAGAGGGUAGCUGAAGGUACUAUACGAAUAAGCACCGGCUAACUCCGUG
Molecule: ribosomal RNA, 479 nt
Filed under: uncultured bacterium 'eubacterium sp.'
Lineage: Bacteria
Also listed under: 1 other name
Description: bacterial SSU rRNA
Rfam family: Bacterial small subunit ribosomal RNA
Source: RNAcentral